Molecule: ribosomal RNA, 219 nt
Filed under: Veillonella magna
Lineage: Bacteria; Bacillati; Bacillota; Negativicutes; Veillonellales; Veillonellaceae
Description: partial 16S ribosomal RNA
Rfam family: Bacterial small subunit ribosomal RNA
Source: RNAcentral
AAGCUUGCUUCUAUGAAUCUUAGUGGCGAACGGGUGAGUAACGCGUAAUCAACCUGCCCUUCAGAGGGGGAUAACAACGGGAAACCGUUGCUAAUACCGCGUACGAUAUACUUUCGGCAUCGAGAGUAUAUGAAAGGUGGCCUCUAUAUAUAAGCUAUCGCUGAAGGAGGGGAUUGCGUCUGAUUAGCUAGUUGGAGGGGUAACGGCCCACCAAGGCGA